Molecule: small nucleolar RNA, 83 nt
Organism: Mangifera indica (mango)
Lineage: Eukaryota; Viridiplantae; Streptophyta; Magnoliopsida; Sapindales; Anacardiaceae
Product: small nucleolar RNA snoR121
Exons: 1
Source: RefSeq, a predicted model, not a curated record
AGCUGUGAUGACAAACCAAAAUGGAUGGCAGGGUCCAUCCUAUCGUCUGAUAAGUUGAGAUGACAGCAAGUGCCGUCUGAGCU